AUUGAACGCUGGCGGCAGGCCUAACACAUGCAAGUCGAGCGGAUGAAGGGAGCUUGCUCCUGGAUUCAGCGGCGGACGGGUGAGUAAUGCCUAGGAAUCUGCCUGGUAGUGGGGGAUAACGUCCGGAAACGGGCGCUAAUACCGCAUACGUCCUGAGGGAGUAAGUGUGGGAUCUUCGGACCUCACGCUAUCAGAUGAUCCUAGGUCGGAUUAGCUAGUUGGUGGGGUAAAGGCCUACCAAGGCGACGAUCCGUAACUGGUCUGAGAGGAUGAUCAGUCACACUGGAACUGAGACACGGUCCAGACUCCUACGGGAGGCAGCAGUGGGGAAUAUUGGACAAUGGGCGCAAGCCUGAUCCAGCCAUGCCGCGUGUGUGAAGAAGGUCUUCGGAUUGUAAAGCACUUUAAGUUGGGAGGAAGGGCAGUAAGUUAAUACCUUGCUGUUUUGACGUUACCAAAAGAAUAAGCACCGGCUAACUUCGUG
Molecule: ribosomal RNA, 484 nt
Filed under: uncultured bacterium
Lineage: Bacteria
Description: partial 16S ribosomal RNA
Rfam family: Bacterial small subunit ribosomal RNA
Source: RNAcentral